CUUCUGAGUUUUGUAGUGCUAACAUCUAAAAUUGUACAAAAUUCGUUGUGCUUCAAAAUUUGUUAUGUAAAAAUGGACGUCGAUUUGGAAUCAGUUGCGGGACCUUUGAUCAGAUUUGGUUAUAUAAAAGUGUCGGUAGAAGGAGAUGAAGUAUCAGAGUUGAAAGUUUUGGACAUGUAGUUUGUUUUUUCUCUUUGUUGUUUUAUUUGGUUACCAAGAACACGUUAUAAAACACAAAACACAAAAACACAAAGACACGGUUAAAGAGAUUUUUUGCUGGCCUUGCAAGUUUUAACAUUGCUGGAAAAAUUUCUUUAUUGAAAAUGCAAAUGGGAUUUACCUUUAACAACGCCAAGUUCGCCCAUUUGAAGUUGGGCCUUAUUGGCAUUGGCAUCAUAGGGCAUAUGCAAGAAUGCCCAUAAAUAAUGGCAACAUUGAUUGGUUUGUGGAGCAAGGUCCGAGGACGACGGGUUCCUUGUGUUUGCUCCGCUGGUUCAAAUCCAAAUCAAAUUUGAAAACUAACAAAAGCUGAAAGAAGACAUCAUUCAAGUAACUCUGCAACACACACACACACACACACGCACACACACUCUCAAACACACACACGGACACAAAAUAUGAAACCAAGUUGGAGCUUAGCCUAAAAUUGCUCUUCUGCAUGAUUAUAAGCUUUAUAUAUUUAAUGUUGAUACAGAUUAGAGGCCAGGAGGCUGCCGAUAUAAAUAUAUUUAAUAGUUUUUAAACAACGCUGACCCAAAAGUAGUGUGGAUUAACUGUAAGUAAUAUUAUUUUAAUUGUAUUUAUGGCUAAAGGCAAAUUCCUUCAGUUCAAAUUUAGUUUCAUACACAAGAAUGUGGAGCAUGGUCCGAGCCCCAACUUGUGUGUGCUUCAUUUCCAAUUAGAAUGCAAAAAACACACAGGACUUUAAGCAAAUGCUUUAAUCGAAUUGUUGCGAUAGAUGAUAUUCCGAUCAAUAUAUAUAUACGUGUGUAUAUAUCUAAACAAUUCCAAUUGACAAAGCAGGGGAGCAAGGUCCGAGGAGAAAAUCCCUUGUGUUUGCUCUCGGUUAUAUAUAUAUAUAUAUAUAUAUAUAUAUAUAUAGAUAUAACAUAUCACGUUGUUCUUCAUUGGUUACAACAAUAGCAACAGACUCUCUGCAACUUGUACAUAAAUACAUAAUCGAACGAGAGAACGACAACAGACAGAAACAAUUAUAUAAAGAACUAGGAAGCCAGGAAAUACGCACACAACACAGACAACAUACAACACCACACACACCCACACACAUUAUAAACAAACCCCAACACCACCCAUCCCUCCCCCAAGAAUCACAAGAUCAGACAUCCCCCAGCCCCUACCCCCCUUUAAAAAUCGAACGCGAUGGGGAUACUUGUUGAUAUUGGGGACAAUUCACACGAGACAUAUUAACAAUUGAAUAAAAUUUUUAAAAAUUUAUAAAAACAUUUUCUUAAUCGUUGGUUGGGGCACAGACUCGGCAACUGGUGCGCACAGUUGGCGCGAAUUAUAAAUAUUUAUAAUAAUCUCCUGACGUCGUCGCAAAUUUUCAGUUCACAUCGCAAAACUACUCACGCCUGUGGAUUCGACUGCCCCCAGUAGUUCGUCUUCCAGCAUCAAAUUUAUAUAUUUGUUAUAAAUAAUUAAAAUAAAUGAAAAAACAUGAGCUUA
Long non-coding RNA from Drosophila novamexicana, 1686 nucleotides. RefSeq lists it as uncharacterized. The transcript has 4 exons. The record is from RefSeq and is a predicted model, not a curated record. NCBI's taxonomy places the organism in Eukaryota, Metazoa, Arthropoda, Insecta, Diptera, Drosophilidae.